Molecule: long non-coding RNA, 1471 nt
Filed under: Amborella trichopoda
Lineage: Eukaryota; Viridiplantae; Streptophyta; Magnoliopsida; Amborellales; Amborellaceae
Description: long non-coding RNA (ATRI_LNC004816)
Source: RNAcentral
AUUGAUAGAAGUUUGAUUGGUAAACUAAAAUGUGUCUAAGGGAUGAUGUUAGGGGAUUGGAGAUUGAAGAUACACACUAAUUCAAGGGUAAGUUUUUGUUAAAAUUUUUUUAGAAUUCAUAAUUGAGUUUUCAAAAAAUAUAUUUGAUUUUUUUAUUCAUAUGUUAACUUCAUAUGAAUCAUUGAUUUAUUUAGUUUUUCUAUUAUAUAAUUUUAUCUCGAGAAAUCAUUUUGCUAGCUAAAUCUAAAUUAAAUUCUAUGGUUUUCUCUAUUAUAUUAUUUUAUCUCGAGAAAUCAUUUUGCUAGCUAAUUCUAAAUUAAAUUUGAUGGUUUUCUCCAUUAUAUAAUUUUAUCUCAAGAAAUCAUUUUGCUAGCUAAUUCUAAUUUAAAUUCUAUUUAUGAUAUGAAGCGACCAUUGCCCUGCAAAGAUCACUUUCUAACAAACCGUUCUUGAAAAUUCUCUAACAACCCCUUCCCUCCAACGCUCUUCUAACUUUGUCUAUAUUCAAAUUACAGGCUGAGCAUAUAUGUGAAGGUGGUUACUAUGUUAGUGUAACCAUUUCUAAGUUUGUAAUAUGUUCAGUGUGAGGGUGGUGUGGUUACUAUGUUAGUGUAACCAUUUCUAAGUUUGUAAUAUGUUCAGUGAGCUUGUUUUCUUUAACUGUUCACAUAUAUUCAAAUUAUAUGUACAGGGUUUUCUCUACCUGUUCACAUAUAUUCAAAUUACAUGUACAGGUCGAGCGUAUAGAUUGUGAUAUGUUGUUGUAGUGGAUUUUUUUUUUUCUUUCUUUUUUUUUGGGUCUGGUGGGUGUUAAAGUAAUUCAUCCAGGGUAUCUAUUUUUUGGGUCUUUUGGUAGGACCGGGUGGGUCUUCUUUUGGGUCUUGUGGUAAGAUCAGGUAGGUCUUUAAGUAAUUGGUUGCAGGAUAUCUAACUUAUCGGGUAGGUCUUAAAGUAAUUGAUUGUAGAAUAUCUAAUUUUUUUUUUUUCACUCUUGUGCUAGGUAAUUGUUUUUGGAGGGACCAAACCAUUUUGAAAGUGAAUGAACAUAGGUAAUUAUUGGAGGGUUCAGGCAUGAGCUCCUCUCUUGUUUUCUGCUAAACUGAUAAAUGGAUUGAGUGGUUUAUUCAUUUUUGGUCAGGCGUCAGGUAUGAUCACGCUAAUUUAUUGUGGACAACCUGUUUUUUUUUUCUUUUUCUUUACAAUAGAUUGAAUGGUUUUGUUGGGCAUGACUUUUUCCUGAUAAACCAAUUAAGUAAUUGAUGAAGGUGGUUUUGUUAGAUAAUGAUUUUUCCGGAUAAACAAAUCAAUUAGACGUGGAUUUUUUUGGAUAAACAAAUCAACAACAAAUUGAUGAAGGUGGUUUUUUUAUCAACCUUUUUUUUUCUUUGUAAACCAACCAAGGUAUUAAUGAAAGUUGUUUUUUUUUUUUUAUUAUUUUUUUUUUUGCAAACCAAAAAAAUGACGAUAUCGG